CGAUGUCUUCGGACAGUCGACGACCGGCGCACGGGUGAGUAACGCGUAUGCAACCUGCCCCUUACAGGGGGAUAGCCCGGAGAAAUCCGGAUUAAUACCCCAUAGGACCUAAGAGUCGCAUGGCUUUAAGGUUAAAAUUUCGAUGGUAAGGGAUGGGCAUGCGUGCCAUUAGUUAGUUGGUAAGGUAACGGCUUACCAAGGCAACGAUGGCUAGGGGUUCUAAAAGGAUGGUCCCCCACACUGGUACUGAGACACGGACCAGACUCCUACGGGAGGCAGCAGUGAGGAAUAUUGGUCAAUGGGUGAGAGCCUGAACCAGCCAUGCCGCGUGCAGGAUGACGGCCCUAGUGGUUGUAAACUGCUUUUAAACAGGAAUAAUUCCUUCUACGUGUAGAGGGUUGCAUGUACUGUAAGAAUAAGCAUCGGCUAACUCCGUGCCAGCAGCCGCGGUAAUACGGAGGAUGCGAGCGUUAUCCGGAUUUAUUAGGUUUAAAGGGUGCGUAGGCUGUAAUGUAAGUCAGUGGUGAAAUCUUCCGGCUCAACCGGGAAACUGCCGUUGAUACUGCAUUACUUGAGUUCAGUUGAGGUAGGCGGAAUGUGUAAUGUAGCGGUGAAAUGCAUAGAGAUUACACAGAACACCGAUUGCGAAGGCAGCUUACUAAGCUGAAACUGACGCUAAUGCACGAAAGCGUGGGGAGCGAACAGGAUUAGAUACCCUGGUAGUCCACGCCGUAAACGAUGACACUCGCUGUUGGCGAUACAUUGUCAGUGGCUGAGCGAAAGCAUUAAGUGCUCCACCUGGGGAGUACGUUGGCAACAAUGAAACUCAAAGGAAUUGACGGGGGCCCGCACAAGCGGUGGAACAUGUGGUUUAAUUCGAUGAUACGCGAGGAACCUUACCUGGGUUUAAGUUUAGGAAGAUUUAUGCCGAAAGGCAUUUUCCCUUCGGGGCUUUCUAGAAGGUGCUGCAUGGCUGUCGUCAGCUCGUGCCGUGAGGUGUCGGGUUAAGUCCCAUAACGAGCGCAACCCCUACUGUUAGUUACCAUCGGUUCAAGCCGGGGACUCUAACGGGACUGCCACCGUAAGGUGAGAGGAGGGUGGGGAUGACGUCAAGUCAGCACGGCCCUUACGUCCAGGGCUACACACGUGUUACAAUGGCCGGUACAAAGGGCAGCUACAUGGCGACAUGAUGCUAAUCUCUAAAACCGGUCUCAGUUCGGAUCGAAGUCUGCAACUCGACUUCGUGAAGCUGGAAUCGCUAGUAAUCGCGUAUCAGCAAUGACGCGGUGAAUACGUUCCCGGGCCUUGUACACACCGCCCGUCAAGCCAUGGAAGCCGGGGGUACCUGAAGUCUGUAACCGCAAGGAGCGGCCUAGGGUAAAACUGGUGACUGGGGCUAAGUCGUAACAAGGUA
This 1414-nucleotide ribosomal RNA is filed under the name metagenome. RNAcentral's name for it is "bacterial SSU rRNA". It matches the Rfam family "Bacterial small subunit ribosomal RNA". The record is from RNAcentral.